Molecule: long non-coding RNA, 350 nt
Filed under: Trifolium pratense (red clover)
Lineage: Eukaryota; Viridiplantae; Streptophyta; Magnoliopsida; Fabales; Fabaceae
Description: long non-coding RNA (TPRA_LNC007124)
Source: RNAcentral
UUGAAGGCUACCUAUUGCAAUGCGUUCAAGCUUGAUAUCCCUAGUACGCAAUCUUUAGCAAUCUCAAGACUUUAGUUGAUGCGUGUUGUGUGUGUGUGUUUUUUUUAAUAAAGUUCGACUUUAGAGUUUGAGUUCGAACCCAUGCCUUUAAUAAUGUUCUUAGUAGUUACCAACUUAGCCACCUUUCUAGGAUGAUGUGUGUUGUGUUUUUUUAUUGGACGAUUAAACUUUUCUCAAAAUGAACAUUUUUUUUUAAUUUAAUUUUUAUUGAAUUUUCAUUGAAUAUUUGCUAAAUUAAUUUUUUUUUGUUACAAAAGCGGCCUAAGCUCGCUAAAUUGAAUUUUAUACGC